Small nucleolar RNA from Cavia porcellus (domestic guinea pig), 101 nucleotides. It matches the Rfam family "Small nucleolar RNA U13". NCBI's taxonomy places the organism in Eukaryota, Metazoa, Chordata, Mammalia, Rodentia, Caviidae. The record is from Rfam.
AGCCUUGGGUCCAGGAGCCUGACGACUGGGGGUGUGUGCCGUGGUGUGACGUGAGCCCUCCUCAAGCCUUGCUGUGGUGCCAGCACCUGACCCGCCUGACG